UACAGAGGUGCCAAGCGUUAGGCGGAAUCACUGGGCUUAAAGCGUGUGUAGGCGGAUCGUUAAGUGUCUUGUGAAAUCCCACGGCUCAACCGUGGAACUGCUUGGUAUACUGCUUGUCUUGUGCAACCUAGGGGCGAGCGGAACAGAUGGUGGAGCGGUGAAAUGCGUAGAUAUCAUCUGGAACGCCAAUGGUGAAAACAGCUCGCUGGGGGUUUGCAGACGCUGAGACACGAAAGCCAGGGGAGCAAACGGG
This 253-nucleotide ribosomal RNA is filed under the name uncultured bacterium. RNAcentral's name for it is "partial 16S ribosomal RNA". It matches the Rfam family "Bacterial small subunit ribosomal RNA", at positions 524 to 776 of the family's 1533-position model. The record is from RNAcentral.